GUGAGGAAUAUUGGUCAAUGGGCGAGAGCCUGAACCAGCCAAGUAGCGUGCAGGAUGACGGCCCUAUGGGUUGUAAACUGCUUUUACACGGGGAUAAAGUGUGCGACGUGUCGUUCAUUGCAGGUACCGUGCGAAUAAGGACCGGCUAAUUCCGUGCCAGCAGCCGCGGUAAUACGGAAGGUCCGGGCGUUAUCCGGAUUUAUUGGGCGUAAAGGGCGCGUAGGCGGUCAUUUAAGUCAGCUGUGAAAUGGUUUGGCUUAACCGGAUCAUGCGGUUGAAACUGGAUGACUGGAGUGCUGGAGAGGCAAGUGGAAUUCCCAGUGUAGCGGUGAAAUGCUUAGAUAUCACGAAGAACUCCGAUUGCGAAGGCAGCUUACUGUAGCGCCACUGACGCUGAAGCUCGAAAGUGCGGGUAUCGAACAGGAUUAGAUACCCUGGUAGUCC
Molecule: ribosomal RNA, 444 nt
Filed under: uncultured bacterium
Lineage: Bacteria
Description: partial 16S ribosomal RNA
Rfam family: Bacterial small subunit ribosomal RNA
Source: RNAcentral